CUCAGAAGCAAAACGUGCAGAAUGAGAACCUGCUGCAGGUUCGAGUCGAACGCAGUGAGACAACGUUGUUUACAACGGCCCGAAGGGCGAGCGAAGCGAGUCAUCCUGCACGACCCUCCC
This 120-nucleotide small RNA is filed under the name Tatumella morbirosei. Its description in RNAcentral is "RtT RNA". It matches the Rfam family "RtT RNA". Rfam says of the family: This family represents a bacterial cis-regulatory element known as RtT RNA. Lineage: Bacteria; Pseudomonadati; Pseudomonadota; Gammaproteobacteria; Enterobacterales; Erwiniaceae. The record is from RNAcentral.